Molecule: long non-coding RNA, 563 nt
Organism: Brassica rapa (field mustard)
Lineage: Eukaryota; Viridiplantae; Streptophyta; Magnoliopsida; Brassicales; Brassicaceae
Source: RefSeq, a predicted model, not a curated record
CAAAAACACUGAAAGUGAUAGAAGAAAGAAGAAUACACUUUUGUAUCAUCACUAUCAUAACAUUCAGUCUCCCAUCAACAAGACAACAUUGGAUUCUUUCAUAUGUGACUUCAUCCUAACCACAACAAUGAAAAAUGGUCCCUCAACAGUGAAUCUAUCCCCAAAAGCUAACAACAGAUCAAGUGUCAUUAGUUCAACUAAAAACACUGUAGUUUAGAAGUCACAUGAUCAAUUUAAGUUUUAGACGAAACUAAAAUAUUAUUGUAUUUGGAUUUUAAACCUUAAUGGAAAAGCCAAUGAGGCAAAUGGAACACACAAUCACAAUCACUUCGUUGAUAUGUCUACACAAAAAAAGAAGGGAGCACUGAAUAUGAAAUCAUUGUGUGUUAUUCAUCAUUUAUUAUUAUCAACAAGAAGAAGGGAAAAGAACUGGAGAUGGGUGUCUCUGAAGCUUCCCACCAGAAAAGCUGAGUUUUUUCAUCUUCUCUUCACACCAAAGAAGCUGCUCUUUACUGAUCCUCCCCAUCCUCACAACCCUUGUUGCUAGUUUGAUGUCAAUGGCU